ACCUGCGCUGGGACGAGGGGCCGCUGUACUUGCGCUACGGCGGUUUCGCCCCGCGGUUCUGCUUCUCGCGCGAGGGC
This 77-nucleotide transfer RNA is filed under the name Streptomyces griseocarneus. Its description in RNAcentral is "tRNA-Ala". The record is from RNAcentral. Lineage: Bacteria; Bacillati; Actinomycetota; Actinomycetes; Kitasatosporales; Streptomycetaceae.